CAAAAAUGUGUGUUUGAAAAUUAAGUUGCAUGUGUGAGGAAGAAGAGAUGACAAAACUGAUUGGAAGAAAUGAAACUGAGUUUUUGUUUUCCCGGGAAACUGCAGCCUGACCUCUGGUUACUGAAAUAUUUCCUCUGACUUCAUAUCUUUUCCUUUAUAGAUAUAUCAAAUGUUAGAUACCUCCAGUAAAGUACAUUCCCUUGUAAUUACUGAAUUACCAAAAUGCAAAAGGUUAUGAAGGAUGUGAGGUGCAUUUCAGAAUUAGUCAGCUGUCUUCUUGGUUAACUUUUAUAAUUUUUUUCCCAUAUAUUGACUGACUUCCUCCAUGACAGUAUUUUAAACUGUUAAAAAAGAAGAGGAAGAGGAAGAGGAAGAGGAAGAGGAAGAGGAAGAGGAAGAGGAAGAGGAAGAGGAAGAGGAAGAGGAAGAGGAAGAGGAAGAGGAAGAGGAAUCAUUUCAGGUAGAUAGGGAGAAGGAAAACUGAAGUCCAGUAGUCUCACUUUAACAAUAUACCCCGAUUGCUCCUUUAAGCCAAGAGAACACUUAUGUGCACAACUGAAUCCCUCAGAUGCUCUCCCACAAUGGACGGCCCUUAGACAAAACACUGGGGAUGCAGCACAACUGGGAGGAAAAACACUCACCCUUCCCGCAGAGCUCAUCAAGACCGAGGAAAAGUGCAACACUUGGGUGCGGCGGCAGAGCAUGCCCAUUGGCAGACUUCUCCAUGCAGUUGCCCUCGAGUGCUGUUGUAGAAAUUGCUACAGCUGAGCUUUUCCAUGCCUGGGGCCACGGUGACAUCCACUUGUGAGAGAUUCCUGGAAACGAAGCUUAAGUCCCUACUUGCUUAAAUAAACAAGCAAACCAACCAUUUCA
This 873-nucleotide long non-coding RNA is filed under the name Numida meleagris (helmeted guineafowl). Its description in RNAcentral is "lncRNA (ENSNMEG00000013327.1)". Lineage: Eukaryota; Metazoa; Chordata; Aves; Galliformes; Numididae. The record is from RNAcentral.